RNAcentral lists this long non-coding RNA (2958 nucleotides) under Malus domestica (apple). RNAcentral describes it as "long non-coding RNA (MDOM_LNC002359)". Lineage: Eukaryota; Viridiplantae; Streptophyta; Magnoliopsida; Rosales; Rosaceae. The record is from RNAcentral.
UUGUCACAGCCCGUCCCGGAAUUUUAAUUCCGAGGACAUGAAAAGACGAAAAUGCCCUUAAACGGGACUAAGGGGCGAAAAUUUAACAAUUUGGAUUGAGUUGGACACGUGGGAUCCCCACAUCCCUCAAAACCUUCCCCAAUUCCCGUACCUUGUCUCUCUAUCUCUCUUCCCUCACGACUCUCUCUCACUCUCAGUUCUCUCUCUUCCUCUCCGACGCUCAACCUCACCCAAAACCACCUAAAACAUAAACAAACGUCCAAGAUAAGACCACAUUUGGACUCCUGGAACUUCCACGAUCACGUAGACACCAAUUUCAGGUAAGUUUUUGCUUCGAAAAACCCUAGUUUCAAAGUUCCCGUGAAAUGGUACUGUUCAUGAUCUUUUAAAUGGUUACGAUUUAGGCUAAAACAAGAUCACAGCGAGCUUAGUGAGGUCCCAAGGAAGCUCGGAGUGCUUCGUUGGAAGUUUUUGGACGUAAAAACACGGAGAUCGACAAGUUCAAAGUUUGGCCGGAGCUUUCGAGGCAUUUUCCGGCGAAUCUCCGGCGAUUUAGGAGUCGAGGUAGGUAUCAAUCUCUUCGUCUCGUCAAGUACUACAACUUUCCUUUUUUUUCACUCAAUUUCGUUGAGUAUUGAAGAAGUUAUACUCAUUUGAAAAAUACCCAGUUUCCGGCGAACUCCGAGGCUUUCGAGGAAAUUUCGUUGAUCAUAAGAUGGUUUCUGGACUUGUUAUGGUCCUUAUAAAGUUUGGUGAUGCUAUGUGGAUACUCAUGCGGUUUUAUGAGUUGAUGGAUGAAGUAUUCCAAUAAUGCCUUGAUAAUUGAUAUCAUUUUCAUUGAAGAUAUUCUGGCAUAUUCUGAGCCAGAGCAGAGCAUGUAAACGUAUUAAGUCGGUAGAACAAAGAUUGGAAGAAUGUCGAUUGUAUGCUAAGUUUAGCAAAUGCGAAUGUUGGAUGAAUCAAGCAGCAUUUCUGGGAUAUGUUAUAUAUUCUUAAGGUAUUCAAGUGAAUCCUUAAAAGGUAAUAGAAAUUAAAAUUUGGAACAACCACGAGUCGUAAUUGAGAUUUGGAAUUUCUUAGCUUACCAGGCUAUCUUGGAUGGUUGUGAAAGAUUUUUCAGUCAUUGCUUUGUCAUUGACGAGACUGUUGAGAAAAGAGGUUAGGUAUGAGUGGGAAGGAAUUGUAAGCAAAGGAUUCAACAACUGAAGUAUUUCCUCACUCAUGCACGUAUUUUUGGUAUUCCCAGAGAAUAGUGGUAAUCAUAAAUUUUUAGUGAUGUUUCUUGAAUGGUAUUGGAGGCAUGUUGAUGCAAAUGUUAGGGUGAUUGCAUACGUUUCACGAUAAAUGGAAUCUCAUAAGAUGAAUUACCCUACUGGUGAUUUGGAAGUCACGAUUACCAUUCUUGCUGUGAAGUUAUGGAGACAUUAUAUUUUAGUGGGAAUGCAAGAUUUUUUUUUACGAAUCCAAAAAGUCUUCAAUAUCCAUUACUUGGAAGGAAUUUGAUAUGAGGCAGCGAAAGUGAAUUGUAUUGCUUAAUGAACAUGAUUGUACGAUCAGGGUGAUCGUAAAGUUUGUUCUAGCUGAAGCACUUGGUGAGAAGACUACAGUAAGAUUAAUAUCUGGCACGUUUGCCAAGAGUAUCAUUUUAUGGAUUGAAAACCAACGGAAGAAAAAUUAAGAAUGGAAGAUCGAGAAGAAGUUAUACUUGUUAAGUAACAAGUUAGUACAUUUACCCCAGUGUUGAGUAACAACCUUUCCCAGACAGUGCAACACUACUUAUUUGUUUUAUGGAAAAGAGAAUUGGAUUACGGAACUGCUAAGUUUCUUAAGUAUGUUGGUUGUGCAGUUUCCGAAGUAACGCCAUAAGGACCAUGAAAUGUGUCACGUGAGUCGGUUUUUGAUGACUUGUGAAUGGAAUGUUUCUGGGUAGAGAAAGAUUCGAUCGAGAAAGAGUUUUAGUAGACCCUGAGACUAUGGAUGAGUCUCCUCAAAGUAUUCAGGUGAUUAAGUUAACCUGAAGUAACCAGGAAUGGCAAAAGAGAUCAACAGAUGGAUAUGCCACUAAUCGAGUGUGUAAGGUAAAUGGUUUGAUAUUUUUGGAAAAUUCACCACGAACAGAAAUGAAGAGAAUUGGAAAAGAGACAAGAUAAGAUUUAAACACAUCAGACCGUUUUGAUCAUUAAAAGAAUCGAUGAAGCUGCAUACAAGUUUGUGAUGCCUUCAGAAUUGGCUAAGGCACAUAAUGUAUUUUGUGUUCGAUGCGUUGUCACUAGGUGGCAGAUUUGUCACAUGGGAUUAUGGUGUAACUAUUGAGAAUUAAAUUGGAUUCGACUUGAUAAGGAACCAAGGACGACUUUGGAUUGGAAAAAGAAGGUCCUGAGAAUUAAGAAGACAGUAAGUAAGUAGUAAAAGCUUUGUGAAGGAAAUCAUUCAGUAGAAAAAGUAUGUGGGAGAAAGAGAAUCGGAUGAGAAAGAUUUACCCGAAGCUAUUGUUGGAGUAUGGUUGAUUUAGUUGGUUGCUGGAAUUUCGGGGACGAAAUUCUAUAAGGAGGAAAGAUUGUCACAGCCCGUCCCGGAAUUUUAAUUCCGAGGACAUGAAAAGACGAAAAUGCCCUUAAACGGGACUAAGGGGCGAAAAUUUAACAAUUUGGAUUGAGUUGGACACGUGGGAUCCCCACAUCCCUCAAAACCUUCCCCAAUUCCCGUACCUUGUCUCUCUAUCUCUCUUCCCUCACGACUCUCUCUCACUCUCAGUUCUCUCUCUUCCUCUCCGACGCUCAACCUCACCCAAAACCACCUAAAACAUAAACAAACGUCCAAGAUAAGACCACAUUUGGACUCCUGGAACUUCCACGAUCACGUAGACACCAAUUUCAGGUAAGUUUUGCUUCGAAAAACCCUAGUUUCAAAGUUCCCGUGAAAUGGUACUGUUCAUGAUCUUUUAAAUGGUUACGAUUU